Molecule: ribosomal RNA, 484 nt
Filed under: uncultured bacterium
Lineage: Bacteria
Description: partial 16S ribosomal RNA
Rfam family: Bacterial small subunit ribosomal RNA
Source: RNAcentral
UGGGGAAUAUUGGACAAUGGGGGCAACCCUGAUCCAGCCAUGCCGCGUGAGUGAUGAAGGCCUUCGGGUUGUAAAGCUCUUUUGGCGGGGACGAUGAUGACGGUACCCGCAGAAUAAGCCCCGGCUAACUUCGUGCCAGCAGCCGCGGUAAGACGAAGGGGGCUAGCGUUGUUCGGAAUUACUGGGAGUAAAGCGAGUGUAGGCGGUUGCCGUAGUCAGGUGUGAAAGCCUUGAGCUCAACUCAAGAAAUGCACUUGAUACUGGGUGACUAGAGGACCGGAGAGGAUAGUCGGAAUUCCCAGUGUAGUGGUGAAAUACGUAGAGAUUGGGAAGAACACCAGUGGCGAAGGCGGCUAUCUGGACGGUUACUGACGCUAAGACUCGAAAGCGUGGGGGAGCAAAACAGGAUUAGAUACCCUGGUAGUCCACGCCGUAAAACGAUGGGUGCUAGACGUUGGCGAGCUUGCUCGUCAGUGUCGCAGCU